UUUUCCUUGAAAGAAAUAUCUUCAUUGUUGUGAUAUUGGUCAAAUGGCUGAUGUAGAGUUGUAUAGAUAGGUCCUAGAGAGUGCUACCCUUAUGGAGAAAAAUUAAAAUAGAGUUUGUUUCUCUCUUUGUAUGAUGCUUCUAUGUUGUGGUGUGAGAUUCUGCAUGCUUCCAUGUUGUGGUGUGAGAUUCUGCUUAGCAUUUCAUUAGGAUGAGUUCAUAAAUAAAAGUUGUCUAUUUGUUUUUCAAGGAGUAGGGAUUCUGGGUAACAAUAAUUAUGAAGUAUCACCUUGUAGAACUCGAAAUUGUCUCAUAAAUACUGUUCUGAGCUAUUUAAGAAUGUCUCAUGUCUUAAUGAAUUUCCUUUGAUAUACUUGCAUAUUUGGAUCCACAGGACUUGGUAUAAAAUGAUUCUGUGGGCUACUUAAUAGAUAAAGUAUAGCGUUUAAUUAUGCUGUCAAAAAAUUAUAAAAUUUUUAUCACAAUUUUUUGUCAUUUGUGUCUCGGUCCUGAUGGUUGUGGGCCAAGGAGAAACAGUUGUGAAAGCUUUGCAAGAUGCCUAAUUUAGGUGCUUCACAUGUCAAUAAUCUCUCUCCUAGUUAUCUUUCUCCCUCCCUCAAAUUAUAGCUUUGUGAAGCCGCUUAGGUAGUAAAGGUGGAUUCUUCUAAGGUUGAUGAGAGCAAAGGAAGAAAACGCAAGCAUCUGUUGAGGGGACUCAAGGAUCUGAAGUGUAUGUUACAGAAUUGGUUGCGUUUGAUUUUCUGAUUCCCAUGGUUCUGUUUGUCAUCAUUUCAUAUGCCAUGAGCUGAGGUUGCCUCCAAGGACACCGAGCUCUUGCAGGUAUGUGGGGGUCUUGCACUCAUAAUAUCUUUCUUCAGAGGUUAAAUAUUCACCCAUUGCAUAAAUAAGUCUUCUUACUUUCUGAAUGAAUAGCAUAUAAAAUAGGCACACACAAUGAGAUUUCCUCAUCAUGUUUGGAAGAGAAAAAGGGAAUGGAUUUGUACUAAUUCACAGGAAAAACCUGCAAGCGUUUUUAUAUUAAAAGAACUUAAAAUCCUCUAUGGUGGGAUGUAGUCCUUGGAGAUAAUUUCAUUCUUGUAUUCCAUAAGAAAUGUUUUUUCUCUACAAAAUAGUGUUCAGACAUCUCAUAUCGUUCUUUGUUUUUCUCCUAUGUUCCUUGGCAUUUUAAGACAAAGGUAGGGUCUGUGAUGGAUAAUUAAUAGUAGUAAUGGUCCACAAAAAGACAUUUAUUUCGAAUCCCGUGAUGAAUAGAAUGUAAUGGUUUCAUUUGAAAAGGAUGUGUG
Camellia sinensis is the source of this 1302-nucleotide non-coding RNA. NCBI's taxonomy places the organism in Eukaryota, Viridiplantae, Streptophyta, Magnoliopsida, Ericales, Theaceae. The record is from RefSeq and is a predicted model, not a curated record.